AUACGUAGGGUGCGAGCGUUGUCCGGAAUUAUUGGGCGUAAAGGGCUCGUAGGCGGUUUGUCGCGUCGGGAGUGAAAACACUGGGCUUAACCGAGUGCUUGCUUUCGAUACGGGCAGACUUGAGGCAUUGAGGGGAGAACGGAAUUCCUGGUGUAGCGGUGAAAUGCGCAGAUAUCAGGAGGAACACCGGUGGCGAAGGCGGUUCUCUGGCAAUGUUCUGACGCUGAGGAGCGAAAGUGUGGGGAGCGAACAGGAUUAGAUACCCUGGUAGUCCACACCGUAAACGUUGGGCGCUAGGUGUGGGGCCUAUUCCAUGGGUUCCGUGCCGCAGCUAACGCAUUAAGCGCCCCGCCUGGGGAGUACGGCCGCAAGGCUAAA
RNAcentral lists this ribosomal RNA (378 nucleotides) under uncultured bacterium. RNAcentral describes it as "bacterial SSU rRNA". It matches the Rfam family "Bacterial small subunit ribosomal RNA", at positions 523 to 898 of the family's 1533-position model. The record is from RNAcentral.